CCUCCUUUGCUCAAUAAAUCCUUGGUGAAUCUGGCCAAAGCGACAGAUUUCACCAUGCUCAAAUUUUUCGACGACUUCUGGCCGAAGCGACAGAAGUGUCGGGAGAGCUUGUGAUACUCUCCCCUGAAUUUCGACGACUUCUGGCCGAAGCGACAGAAGUGCCGGGAGAGCUUGUGAUACUCCCCCCUGAGUUUCGACGACUUCUGGCCGACGCGACAGAAGUGCCGGGAGAGCUUGUGAUACUCCCCCCUGAGUUUUGACGACCUCUGGCCGAAGCGAC
RNAcentral lists this long non-coding RNA (280 nucleotides) under Zostera marina. RNAcentral describes it as "long non-coding RNA (ZMAR_LNC002726)". The record is from RNAcentral. Lineage: Eukaryota; Viridiplantae; Streptophyta; Magnoliopsida; Alismatales; Zosteraceae.